GAUGAACGCUAGCGGCAGGCUUAAUACAUGCAAGUCGUGGGGCAGCAUGAGUAGCAAUACUUGAUGGCGACCGGCAAACGGGUGCGGAACACGUACACAACCUUCCGAUAAGUGGGGAAUAGCGCAGAGAAAUUUGGAUUAAUACCCCGUAACAUAUAGAGUAGGCAUCUUCUUAAUAUUAUAGCUUCGGCGCUUAUUGAUGGGGGUGCGUCUGAUUAGGUAGUUGGCGGGGUAACGGCCCACCGAGCCUACGAUCAGUAGCUGAUGUGAGAGCAUGAUCAGCCACACGGGCACUGAGACACGGGCCCGACUCCUACGGGAGGCAGCAGCAAGGAAUAUUGGACAAUGGGCGAAAGCCUGAUCCAGCCAUGCCGCGUGAAGGAUUAAGGUCCUCUGGAUUGUAAACUUCUUUUAUUUGGGACGAAAAAAGGGAAUUCUUUCCCACUUGACGGUACCAAGUGAAUAAGCACCGGCUAACUCCGUGCCAGCAGCCGCCGUAA
This 500-nucleotide ribosomal RNA is filed under the name uncultured bacterium. RNAcentral's name for it is "partial 16S ribosomal RNA". It matches the Rfam family "Bacterial small subunit ribosomal RNA", at positions 28 to 523 of the family's 1533-position model. The record is from RNAcentral.